Molecule: long non-coding RNA, 768 nt
Organism: Ostrea edulis (European flat oyster)
Lineage: Eukaryota; Metazoa; Mollusca; Bivalvia; Ostreida; Ostreidae
Exons: 4
Source: RefSeq, a predicted model, not a curated record
UGAUAUUCUUUAUCGUCAAAAUUACGAUUUUCUAUUGGUUGGUAUUUCUGAAUCGCGCUCUCUGACCAACGCGCGUCUAGUAUAGCGAGCUGUUAGCGUCACUUGCAAAGUUGUUUACUAGAAGAUCGAUUAUAGAAAAGGAGACUAUUUUCCCAAGCUCACGAUGGCAGCUACAGCAAAAAAAGGUGGAAAGAAAGCCGCGGCCGGUGCAGCUAAGGUAAAGAAAGCAGCAAAACCGAAGUCCCCCAAAAAGACGACAAAGAAGGCUGGAGCAAAAAAGGCUGUGAAAAGGGCCGGAAAGAAGGGAGGAAAGAAAGCUACAAAGGCCAAGAAGUAAACUCUUCCUCAGUAGGCUUAUUCACAAUCCAGGGACUAUUUCAUCAAUCAUCAUUUAGAUAUAGAUUGCCACCCUUUUCUUUCUCUGGCGCCUUGUUUUUGAAGACGACUGAAUCUCUUUUAUUAUAUAAAUCUAUAUAUAACUGUUUUAUAGAAUAGGUAUUUAUAGAUGUGUGUACUACAAACAGUUUUAUACCCUCAAACAGAUGAAUUGUUUAUUUAGAUUUUGAAAAUUAUUUUAUAUGAGAACUUGUUAAGGUUUCCAUACCAUUAAAUUGGUAGAAUUUUUAAAUGUUUUGAUCAACACUUUAAAUUUAUCCAUUUUUAUCAUUUUUACAGAGCACAUUGCAAUUAAUAGGUGUGUAAUACUCCUCCUGCAAUCUUGUACCAAGUUUGUAGGACUAAUGUGAAAUAAAUGUGUAUAAAACAAGA